RNAcentral lists this non-coding RNA (26 nucleotides) under Mus musculus (house mouse). Lineage: Eukaryota; Metazoa; Chordata; Mammalia; Rodentia; Muridae. The record is from RNAcentral.
UUCUAGUAGGCAGCUGGCAUCUACGC